RNAcentral lists this ribosomal RNA (212 nucleotides) under uncultured bacterium. RNAcentral describes it as "partial 16S ribosomal RNA". It matches the Rfam family "Bacterial small subunit ribosomal RNA", at positions 1288 to 1500 of the family's 1533-position model. The record is from RNAcentral.
UAGUCCGGAUUGUCAGUCUGCAACUCGACUGCAUGAAGUCGGAAUCGCUAGUAAUCGCGGAUCAGCAUGCCGCGGUGAAUACGUUCCCGGGUCUUGUACACACCGCCCGUCAAACAAUGGGAGUGGUGUUUACCAGAAGUCGUUAGCCUAACCGCAAGGAGGGCGGCGACCACGGUGAGCACCGUGAUAAUGUUAAGUCGUAACAAGGUAAC